GAUGAACGCUGACAGAAUGCUUAACACAUGCAAGUCAACUUGAACUUCGGUUUGGGUGGCGGACGGGUGAGUAACGCGUAAAGAACUUGCCUCACAGAUAGGGACAACAUUUGGAAACGCAUGCUAAUACCUGAUAUUAUGAUUUUAGGGCAUCCUAGAAUUAUGAAAGCUAUAUGCGCUGUGAGAGAGCUUUGCGUCCCAUUAGCUAGUUGGAGAGGUAACGGCUCACCGAGGCGAUGAUGGGUAGCCGGCCUGAGAGGGUGAUCGGCCACAAGGGGACUGAGACACGGCCCUUACUCCUACGGGAGGCAGCAGUGGGGAAUAUUGGACAAUGGACCAAAGAGCCUGAUCCAGCAAUCCUGUGUGCCUGCAUGAAGUUUUUUCGGAAUGUAAAGGGUUUUUCAGUUGGGGAAGAAAAAAAUGACGGUACCAACGGAAGAAGUGACGGGCUUAAAUACGGGCCAGCAGCCCGGGUAAAUACGUAUGUCGCAAGCCUUAUCCGGGAUUUAUUGGGCCUAAAGCGCGUUUGGAUGGGUAGUAAGCCUGACCGGGAAAAUGCUGGGCUUAA
This 568-nucleotide ribosomal RNA is filed under the name uncultured Fusobacterium sp. Its description in RNAcentral is "bacterial SSU rRNA". It matches the Rfam family "Bacterial small subunit ribosomal RNA", at positions 28 to 612 of the family's 1533-position model. Lineage: Bacteria; Fusobacteriati; Fusobacteriota; Fusobacteriia; Fusobacteriales; Fusobacteriaceae. The record is from RNAcentral.